UUAUUCAAGCAUGCAAUACUAAGCUUCUAUCGCUAUAAGAGCGAAACAAGUUACCCCGCAAAACCGUCUGUUGUGAAUUCUCAACAAAAGAUGAAGAUCAUUCUACUGUUUAGCGUCAUUGCUAUGGCAACCAUGGUGUCUGCUAAAUCUAUAGCUACUUUUCAAGCUGACAUCUAUGCAGUGUGCGGAGUCAAAGGUCAGAUAUACAAGAAUUGCGCGUGGGCACCGUCACCCUGCAAACCUGAUACCUGCGACACUCCCAUUAAGUACCUUAACAGCUGCCCGUUGCAUCAAUGUGUGGCACAAUGUGAGUGUCCUGUAGGAGAGGUGAUUGAUAAGAAGAAGAAUGAGUGUGUCCUACCUGAACAGUGCCCAGAUGUAUGUGUCCACCGUGGUCAAGAACACAAUGUUGGAGACUGGUGGAUGCAGGGAUGCAGUUUUUGUGAUUGUGUUUCGCGUGCGACUGUAACUUGCGUCACAAAAUGUGGAUAGUAAGUUAAUGGAAUUCUAGAAUGGAAAGACACAAUGAACUAUAAUUAACUUGAAACUGUGACUAUACAUAAAGUUACGUAGCAUACCAGUUUAGUAUACCUUUCGUAGAUUGAGACAGUGUCGUGAGAAUAAUUAUUUUCUGCAUGAUAUAUAAUUAUAGUGAAUGUCAAGUGUUUUUUUGUGUACAGCCAUGCAUGAGAAGUUAAUUAAGUUGG
Halichondria panicea is the source of this 707-nucleotide long non-coding RNA. RefSeq lists it as uncharacterized. The record is from RefSeq and is a predicted model, not a curated record. The transcript has 5 exons. NCBI's taxonomy places the organism in Eukaryota, Metazoa, Porifera, Demospongiae, Suberitida, Halichondriidae.